GGACCGAGUAUUAUGCAUGUGUUGAGAAGAUGAUCCCCGAUACAACAAUACAAGAUUUACUAGUCGCUGAGCUUCCUAGGUACAAAAUGGCGAAUGGACUAUUUGGUUGUGGUCCGGCUAAAAGAGCUAGAGACACAAGGUCACCGGUGGAAUGGUGGUCACUAUUUGGUAGUGAAACACCAAACUUGCAAAAGUUUGCCAUGAAAGUAUUAAGCCUAACUUGUAGCUCAUCCGGAUGUGAGCGAAAUUGGAGUGUGUUUGAACACAUUCAUUCCAAAAAGAGGAA
Long non-coding RNA from Solanum verrucosum, 286 nucleotides. RefSeq lists it as uncharacterized. Lineage: Eukaryota; Viridiplantae; Streptophyta; Magnoliopsida; Solanales; Solanaceae. The record is from RefSeq and is a predicted model, not a curated record. The transcript is spliced from 3 exons.